GUCAAUCGAGGUUGAGUUUAGUAAGUGGUGAAAGUUUUUGAUCUAGAUUGCAGAUCACUAUUGUCACUUUAUACAAACUGAAAGUAAUGCGUUGUGUGUUUGUUUUUGUGGGCAUUUGACUGAACAGCCCAGACCAAUAUUGCUACCAACAUGGCACUUCAAAACAGACCACCGCAGUGAGUAAAAGUUAUUUUCCUUUAUUAAAUGUUGUUUGGGCUGUCUCCUCAAGACACAAGCCAUCAGUAUCCCUGCUCUUUGCACUUUGACAUGUAUGUCACUGCUGUUUGUUAACCUAGCUUUGCUGAUUUGUAUCUUGUGAUGUGUGUGUUUUUCUUAACAGGUGUUAGAUGAGUGACAUGAUCUAUGGGGGGGCCCCCUUUGGGCCCCCCCAUACCAACUUAGUCUUCAAAAUCUUUCGGUCUUGGUCAGGGGGACUUGACUGGUGAGUCUACUGGAUUAAUCAGUAGCGGUACUUUGCCCAACAGAUUUGAUGGGAUGACUACAGGUUGGUGGUUCAACACUGAUGUCUCUCGGCUUGAGGGAGAACUCACAAGUAAAUUACACGAAUGUCCUGGAGCAAUUGGGAAUACACUUUUAUUUAGUCUACCUGACCAGGGACAUCUUUGAACUAUAGGUCACCUAACCCAAACUUUUCACUCUUGUUAGGUUGUCCUUUUCUCUUGUUUUAACCCGAAAGGGCUGAAAUUUCAACAUUUCAGGUAUUCUGUUUGGAUAAUGUGCAAAACUUGUGGAUUCACUAAUAAAAAAAAUUAACGAAUGUAUUUUUCUUAAUUUGGUUAAACUAUUUAAAGAUUUGUAUGCAAAAUAUUUCUGCUCAAUUUGUGGUCAAUGAAACUCAGACAUUUUUUAAUUUGAUAAAACAUAACUAUGGGUUAAAGGUAUUUGCUUUGGGCAUCUUUUGAUAUUUUUAGAAUCUAGCUCCAUUGCCGUUCGAAAUGGUGUCUCCCAGUACUGCAAAGUGCUUCCACAAGUUUAAAAAAGAAUGGGCAGAAAAGGAACUGCCAACUAAAUCUAUUUAACAUGGGUAGAAAGUUUCCAUGGAAGCUCUUGGCUGCUGGUUCCCAACACAGCUCCACUGUUAGCCUGUGACCUUGCGUUUAACUUUUUUCGACUUUUGGUGACUUCCACAAAAGAGAAAUGAACUGGUUAAUACAAUAAACAAGACAUUUCAUGGUACCAUUUUGAACUGUUUGUGGAUAUUGCAUUAAAUCCAUAUGCUUGAAACUUUUCAAUAAUGCAUAUCAACAAAACAAUGGAAUGAAAU
This is a long non-coding RNA of Gadus chalcogrammus (walleye pollock), 1285 nucleotides long. RefSeq lists it as uncharacterized. Lineage: Eukaryota; Metazoa; Chordata; Actinopteri; Gadiformes; Gadidae. The transcript is spliced from 3 exons. The record is from RefSeq and is a predicted model, not a curated record.